RNAcentral lists this ribosomal RNA (476 nucleotides) under uncultured organism. RNAcentral describes it as "partial 16S ribosomal RNA". It matches the Rfam family "Bacterial small subunit ribosomal RNA", at positions 330 to 797 of the family's 1533-position model. The record is from RNAcentral.
CGUACACUCCUACGGGAGGCAGCAGUGGGGAAUUUUGGACAAUGGGCGAAAGCCUGAUCCAGCCAUGCCGCGUGCAGGAUGAAGGCCUUCGGGUUGUAAACUGCUUUUGUACGGAACGAAACGGCCUUUUCUAAUAAAGAGGGCUAAUGACGGUACCGUAAGAAUAAGCACCGGCUAACUACGUGCCAGCAGCCGCGGUAAUACGUAGGGUGCAAGCGUUAAUCGGAAUUACUGGGCGUAAAGCGUGCGCAGGCGGUUAUGUAAGACAGUUGUGAAAUCCCCGGGCUCAACCUGGGAACUGCAUCUGUGACUGCAUAGCUAGAGUACGGUAGAGGGGGAUGGAAUUCCGCGUGUAGCAGUGAAAUGCGUAGAUAUGCGGAGGAACACCGAUGGCGAAGGCAAUCCCCUGGACCUGUACUGACGCUCAUGCACGAAAGCGUGGGGAGCAAACAGGAUUAGAUACCCUUGUAGUCCCA